AGAGUUGGAAAAACGCAGGAGAGGA
This 25-nucleotide non-coding RNA is filed under the name Cricetulus griseus (Chinese hamster). Lineage: Eukaryota; Metazoa; Chordata; Mammalia; Rodentia; Cricetidae. The record is from RNAcentral.